Long non-coding RNA from Selaginella moellendorffii, 385 nucleotides. RefSeq lists it as uncharacterized. The transcript has 2 exons. Lineage: Eukaryota; Viridiplantae; Streptophyta; Lycopodiopsida; Selaginellales; Selaginellaceae. The record is from RefSeq and is a predicted model, not a curated record.
ACAAAAGGAAUGCGCCUGACUGACGACUGUUCACCAGUGCACACACACACACACACUACACACUCUUUGCUUGGGUCUGGAGGUCACGUAAGGCGGGAUGCCACAAUUUUGAGACUUUCGGCACAGCACUGGCAGCUGCUGUGCUGCUGCUGCUGCUGCUGCUUCGUCAGGAAACAAAGCGUAUGUAUGUAUACGUACAUUCUCUCAAGACUCCUUUUGUAUCUCUCUCGGCUCACGACAUCUCUAUGAGCUCCGGAGCUCUCUCAGCGAGGAAAGUACUUUGCGAUUCUAGUCUAGUUUUGCUUUUAAGCUUUAGCUGUCCAGAGAUUGGAUUCCGAUCAAUCACUCGUUUUGAUCGGACUGGCUAAGCGCUGCUCGACUUGCA